RNAcentral lists this small RNA (304 nucleotides) under uncultured bacterium. RNAcentral describes it as "bacterial SSU rRNA". It matches the Rfam family "Bacterial small subunit ribosomal RNA", at positions 60 to 351 of the family's 1533-position model. The record is from RNAcentral.
AGUCGAGCGGACUUGAGGGAGCUUGCUCCCGAAAGUUAGCGGCGGACGGGUGAGUAACACGUGGGCAACCUGCCUAUAAGACUGGGAUAACUUCGGGAAACCGGAGCUAAUACCGGAUAAUUCUUUCUCUCUCAUGAGGGAAAGCUGAAAGACGGUUCUGCUGUCACUUAUAGAUGGGCCCGCGGCGCAUUAGCUAGUUGGUGUUUUUUCUGCUCACCAAGGAAAAGAUGCGUAGCCGACCUGAGAGGGUGAUCGGCCACACUGNCUUCGUCACACGGCGAAGNCUCCUACNUNAAGUCGGUGU